GUUCGUGAAAUCUCACGGCUUAACUGUGAGCGUGCGGGCGAUACGGGCAGACUUGAGUACUGCAGGGGAGACUGGAAUUCCUGGUGUAGCGGUGGAAUGCGCAGAUAUCAGGAGGAACACCGGUGGCGAAGGCGGGUCUCUGGGCAGUAACUGACGCUGAGGAGCGAAAGCGUGGGGAGCGAACAGGAUUAGAUACCCUGGUAGUCCACGCCGUAAACGGUGGGUACUAGGUGUGGGUUUCCUUCCUUGGGAUCCGUGCCGUAGCUAACGCAUUAAGUACCCCGCCUGGGGAGUACGGCCGCGAGGCUAAAACUCAAAGAAAUUGACGGGGGCCCGCACAAGGCGGCGGAGCAUGUGGAUUAAUUCGAUGCAACGCGAAGAACCUUACCUGGGUUUGACAUGCACAGGACGCCGGCAGAGAUGUCGGUUCCCUUGUGGCCUGUGUGCAGGUGGUGCAUGGCUGUCGUCAGCUCGUGUCGUGAGAUGUUGGGUUAAGUCCCGCAACGAGCGCAACCCUUGUCUCAUGUUGCCAGCGGGUAAUGCCGGGGACUCGUGAGAGACUGCCGGGGUCAACUCGGAGGAAGGUGGGGAUGACGUCAAGUCAUCAUGCCCCUUAUGUCCAGGGCUUCACACAUGCUACAAUGGCCGGUACAAAGGGCUGCAUGCCGCGAGGUUAAGCGAAUCCUUUUAAGCCGGUCUCAGUUCGGAUCGGGGUCUGCAACUCGAC
This 727-nucleotide ribosomal RNA is filed under the name uncultured Mycobacterium sp. Its description in RNAcentral is "bacterial SSU rRNA". It matches the Rfam family "Bacterial small subunit ribosomal RNA", at positions 590 to 1316 of the family's 1533-position model. The record is from RNAcentral. Lineage: Bacteria; Bacillati; Actinomycetota; Actinomycetes; Mycobacteriales; Mycobacteriaceae.